CUCCACCGCCGCCUGCAGCUUCCCGAUACAGAUCGCCGCCGCCUCCUCGACGUCGAGCGGCCACAGGCGAGCGCGCGCCGGGCCGCUCGGCGCCGCCGCUCUGCUCGUGCUGCUGGCUCUGGUCCAGCUCUUGAUGUCGCAGUAGAGAAUGAAACAGACUUGUUUUUCAUCAGUUGAUCAUUUGUUGCCUCGUAGCAUAUAUUUUUUUGGAUCAGCAGUAGUUACUAGCAGUAAUUCGGUACGAGUCUUGUACUGGAGGCAUAUAUACCUGAGGAUAUAUGUUCAGAUGGCAUUUCACAUGAUGUUCAAACACUUGAUGUGCUUGAUGACUAUGGUGUACAGUUCAUUCAGAAUCCCAGAUCCAACGUUCCAGUGAUAUUUCACAAAACAUU
RNAcentral lists this long non-coding RNA (392 nucleotides) under Triticum aestivum (bread wheat). RNAcentral describes it as "long non-coding RNA (TAES_LNC009254)". The record is from RNAcentral. Lineage: Eukaryota; Viridiplantae; Streptophyta; Magnoliopsida; Poales; Poaceae.